Molecule: long non-coding RNA, 957 nt
Organism: Helicoverpa armigera (cotton bollworm)
Lineage: Eukaryota; Metazoa; Arthropoda; Insecta; Lepidoptera; Noctuidae
Exons: 3
Source: RefSeq, a predicted model, not a curated record
GCAUGAAGUGGACAUCAGUGGAUAUCUUUUCACGGUGCUUAACGUAAAAACUAUGGUGACUAGCAGGGGUACUCUUGACAACUCUAGUUUUUAUCGACUAUUAUACUGCUAAGGUGGAAAUACCUUAUUAGCAUUACAUUACUACGUUUGAGAGAACGCUUUAUUUUCAACGUGUUAUACAUUUAAAAACAAUCUGUCUCGGUAAAAUUCAGUAUUUGCUUUCUAUUGUGUGUGAACUUGGUGUCUAAAGUUCCGUGUGGUUGAACAAUAUUUUAACUGAGAACAUUGUUUAAAAUGCCAGGACGCAGGAAAGUGUCACUGAGGCAAAUGGAGCUGCUUCUAGAGUUUGCGCAUUCCCAUCGCGACAUAGCGUUGGGCCGCUUUCCGCCAGGUCCUCAGGGAGUGCGGGACACUCGAGAAGCAUGGCGGUCGAUUUCGGUGGCACUUAACUGUGUCGGCAGCGGAGCCACUAAAACGCCGGACCAAUGGCGCCGAUAUUGGAUAGAGUUCAAAGCAAAAACAAAAGGAAAAGCUGCAGACAUGCGGAGGAGCACAUCUGCGACUGGUGGAGGCCCUAACAGGCUGGUCCCUCUUAACUAUAUAGAGGAAAAGGUGCUGGCUUUGUUAGGCCCUGUUGUGGUUGAGGGAUUGCCUGGUGUGCGCUUGCCCAUUGAUGUUAGUUUAAUUUCAUAUAAAUAUAAUUUAAGUUUUAUUGUCAUCCGCUUCAUUGAAACUACUACUUUAUUUGUCAGGAUGUUAUGUGGUUUCUUUACGCAUAUUGAAAAGAAAAUUAUUUCUUCAGAUAUUGUCACUUGGUGACCCACCAACUUCCCAGCCAUCGAUGUCUGGAGCUGUGGCUGUACACACCUCACAGCCUCCGGUGCCUCCUAAGCCCUCAACCUCUACUUAUGAUGAGCAGAUAAUGGAGGUUGAAUGGCUUGACGACAGCCUUCUAGG